Molecule: ribosomal RNA, 253 nt
Filed under: uncultured bacterium
Lineage: Bacteria
Description: partial 16S ribosomal RNA
Rfam family: Bacterial small subunit ribosomal RNA
Source: RNAcentral
UACGGAGGGUGCGAGCGUUGUCCGGAAUUACUGGGCGUAAAGAGCUCGUAGGUGGUUUGUCGCGUUGUUCGUGAAAACUCACAGCUCAACUGUGGGCGUGCGGGCGAUACGGGCAGACUGGAGUACUGCAGGGGAGACUGGAAUUCCUGGUGUAGCGGUGGAAUGCGCAGAUAUCAGGAGGAACACCGGUGGCGAAGGCGGGUCUCUGGGCAGUAACUGACGCUGAGGAGCGAAAGCGUGGGGAGCGAACAGG